GAAGAGACUAGCUCAAGGUCUCUGUUUUAAUUGCAAUGACAAGUUUACUGUGAGUCAUAAAUGUCGAAACCCACAACUUUUGCUGCUAGAAGGAAGUGACAUCGGUAUCAAGUUUGAAGAGGAUCUUGAUGACGUGACAGAAGAGCCCAUAACUGAUCUCUAACCUGAACCAGAGAUAUCACCUCAUAAUGUCCGAUUCUAGCCAUGACUUUCAUGGUACUAGAAGUUGACAGUGGUUCCACCCACAACUUUAUUAGUGAGAAGAUAGCUAAUUUAUUAAAAUUAUAUGUGGUUCCAACCGUGCCAUUCAAUAUGAAAGUAGCUAAUGGGAAUCCAUUGAAGUGCCAAGGAAGAUUUAAGCAUGUGCAGGUUUUAUUUCAGGGUAUCCCCUUUCUCUAUUAGUCUCUAUUCAUUUCCACUAAUCAGGCUAGACUUGGUCUUUGGCGUACAAUGGUUGGAGCAAUUGGGGACAGUAGUAGAGUUCCAAUGGAAAAACAAAGCUCAAAAGCUACAAGGAACCGAUGUAACGCGUAUUCAAUCCACAUCCUUGAAGGCAAUUUCGAAGGAAUUACAAGAAGGAAAUUCUAUGUUUGCUAUUUGCCUACAGAAUGCAGCACGUGAAUCACAACAUGAUGUACAUCCAGAUAUGCAAAACCUGAUGAAAGCCUAUGAGGACAUUUUUCAAGAGCUGAAGCAAUUACUUCCAGCAAGAGAAAUUGACCACCGCAUCAUUCUGAAAGAUGGAACCGAGACUAUCAACUUGGGACCCUUCCAAGUCUGCGUAUUUUCAAAAAGUCGAAAUUGAAAAACAAGUUCAGGACAUGUUAAAAUUGGGGCUUAUAAAAUC
RNAcentral lists this long non-coding RNA (847 nucleotides) under Olea europaea subsp. europaea. The record is from RNAcentral. Lineage: Eukaryota; Viridiplantae; Streptophyta; Magnoliopsida; Lamiales; Oleaceae.